AUGAUCACUUUGGCAGCACAUAUACUAAAACUGGAACAAUACAGAGAAGAUUAGCAUGGCCCCUGCACAAAGUUGACACCACUGGGAAGUUAUUUCUUGAGCAUGUCU
This is a small nuclear RNA of Heteronotia binoei (common prickly gecko), 108 nucleotides long. NCBI's taxonomy places the organism in Eukaryota, Metazoa, Chordata, Lepidosauria, Squamata, Gekkonidae. The record is from RefSeq and is a predicted model, not a curated record.